This is a long non-coding RNA of Rattus norvegicus (Norway rat), 867 nucleotides long. RefSeq lists it as uncharacterized. The record is from RefSeq and is a predicted model, not a curated record. Lineage: Eukaryota; Metazoa; Chordata; Mammalia; Rodentia; Muridae.
CUCCUCAGUACCCAGACUCAGAAGGGAACCUAAGGCCAUGCCCCAGACCCGGAAGGGAACCCAAAGCUGUGUCCCAGACCCGGAAGAGAACCCAAGGCCGUGAUCCAGACCCGGAAGGGAACCCAAGGCUGUGUCCCAGACCCGGAAGAGAACCCAAGGCUGUGCCCCAGACCGGGAAGGGAAGCCAAGGCUGUGCUCCCUGAUGAGCAAGGAACCAGACUUUUAAAGAAAGUCACCAAACACUGAACUUCUGAUGGACUCUGCAAGGGACUCUGCAAACAUGGAGAAAGCAAGACUUCCAAGAUGUAAAGUUGGGUGGGAGAAUUCUUCUCCCCAGAUCUCUGGGGUAUGCAACCCAUUCAACGUGCUCUCGAAUUCUGGUUUUUGUUUCCAUUUUCUAUAACAAGAGAUGAAGACAGAAUAUGUCAAUGUUGAUGUAUCUGAGAAAGGAUGAAUUCCAGACUGGAACACAGCUACAUCUGCUCAGAGACAAGAUGGAGGGAAUUAAGAUGCUAACCGUGAUUAUUUCUCCCCAAGCAAAUUUACAGUAUCUUUGGCCUCAAGAGCCAAAAUUCCAGACAGAUUAGCUUCUCAUCUCCUCGGCAACUCUCAGAACCGCAUAGCUAUAGAAAUUCAUUGCUUAAACACUGGGUGUCCUUAUUAGGGAACUAUCUUAAAUUCUGUGCCAACAAAGAAACUCAUUGACUACGGAGCAAUAGUCAUGAAAAUAUUUAUGAUGUGGAUUAAAAACAGGUGCUCCAAGCAGAACAAAAGCCGGGGUUAUUCACCACCCGACUAACUGGAGAAACAUUAUUUACAUCUAACCCAGUGCAUUUUAGGUUUUCAGUAAAUAUUUUUUUCCCUGGG